UGGGAUUCCUCAUCAAGUAGGUUGCCAGU
This 29-nucleotide non-coding RNA is filed under the name Rattus norvegicus (Norway rat). Lineage: Eukaryota; Metazoa; Chordata; Mammalia; Rodentia; Muridae. The record is from RNAcentral.